RNAcentral lists this ribosomal RNA (253 nucleotides) under uncultured bacterium. Its description in RNAcentral is "partial 16S ribosomal RNA". It matches the Rfam family "Bacterial small subunit ribosomal RNA", at positions 524 to 776 of the family's 1533-position model. The record is from RNAcentral.
UACGUAGGGGGCAAGCGUUGUCCGGAUUUAUUGGGCGUAAAGAGCGUGUAGGCGGCUUUGCAAGUCCGUUGUGAAAACUCGAGGCUCAACCUCGAGACGCCGGUGGAAACUGCAAAGCUAGAGUCCGGAAGAGGAGAGUGGAAUUCCUGGUGUAGCGGUGAAAUGCGCAGAUAUCAGGAAGAACACCCGUGGCGAAGGCGGCUCUCUGGGACGGUACUGACGCUGAGGAGCGAAAGCUAGGGGAGCAAACAGG